RNAcentral lists this transfer RNA (85 nucleotides) under Felis catus (domestic cat). It matches the Rfam family "tRNA". From Rfam's summary of the family: Transfer RNA (tRNA) molecules are approximately 80 nucleotides in length. Their secondary structure includes four short double-helical elements and three loops (D, anti-codon, and T loops). The record is from Rfam by way of RNAcentral. Lineage: Eukaryota; Metazoa; Chordata; Mammalia; Carnivora; Felidae.
GCCUGGGUGGCUCAGUCGGUUAAGUGCCUGACUUCUGCUCAGGUCAUGAUUUCACUGUUGCUGGGUUCAAGUCCCAUGUCAGGCU